This 305-nucleotide long non-coding RNA is filed under the name Capsella grandiflora. RNAcentral describes it as "long non-coding RNA (CGRA_LNC001351)". Lineage: Eukaryota; Viridiplantae; Streptophyta; Magnoliopsida; Brassicales; Brassicaceae. The record is from RNAcentral.
GACACUCUUUUCAUGUGUUUAGGCUUCUUAGGUUUAGCUGGAUGAUCAGCUUUUGCCUCCUGCUUAGUCUCUGACUUGGUCUCCGGCUUGGUCUCUGGUUUGGUCUCUGGUUUGGGCUCAGGUUUGGGCUCAGGUAUUGUCUCCUCUUGCACUUCAGGCUUGCUUUCAGGUCGAAUCUCUCUGUCCUUGGUCUCGAUGUUAGUUCCUGACUUUGGCAUUGUGACCUGUUCAGGAGGUUUAUUCUGGACAUCAUCAGAUAACGGAGAUCGAAGCUCUCCUGAAACAGGUUCACUUGCAAUAUCUCC